RNAcentral lists this long non-coding RNA (1073 nucleotides) under Homo sapiens (human). RNAcentral's name for it is "HSALNT0175843". The record is from RNAcentral. Lineage: Eukaryota; Metazoa; Chordata; Mammalia; Primates; Hominidae.
GUCUCCUCUCUGACCAUCUGGAGGGCCACCCAUUCCUGAGGAACUGUUCCCCGAACAAGCAAGUAUGCAAGGGCAGAGGAUGAAUCAGACCCAGCAGGUCCCACUGAGGGCCCCCGUUGAAGAUCAGAGGGGUCUGGCAGGGCCUGUGGGACAUCCCGCCAUGCCUCGCUUCCUCCCCACACUGCUGCAGACAGGCUCUGCCCAGGACCUUUGUGAUGGGCAGGUCAACCUGACCAGAGGUGUGGAAACUUCUGGAUGCCUGCUCUUGUGAGUUCACCUCUAUGUCUACUCUACUGAGGCCUCUCCAUACAGGUAGAGUGACUUGUGGGAGGCCUGUUACAUCCUCAGGCCACACCUGGUAAGGGAAGCGCAGGUGGGUCCCACCUGCCCUGGUGCCCCCCUCAGGAUACCUGGGGGUAUAUACUUUUUCUCAUGCCACCCCCAGGCUCUGCCCAGAUGGGGCUGACGACUGGUUUUUGGGCUGGCAUCCGUGUUUCCGGGCGCUGCUUGCCCGUUCUCUCCCACCUGCCGGUUGAACCUUAAUCUCCUUUUGGUUGCGUACAUCAUUGGGUGAGUCUCUGCCUCCAUGCAUUUUUCUGGAACAAGGGUCCCUACCUUCUUGCAGACAUUGAAGAGAGCCUGUGACCUCCCAGAGGCGCUAAGCACCCUUCCAGCUCUGACAUCGUAUAGUUGGCUCUAAUAGGUCUCAGUUUCCUGCCUUCCUGGGAAGUGGGGAAAGGCUGAGAGGCCCCGUGCUGGGGGUGAAGCUAAUUCAUUAGUUACGCCUCAACAAGGACCGGGUGCCUGCAGUGCCAGCGUGAUUCAUCAUGAUGAUUGCCCCACUGCCAGCCUGCGUGGGCCUGGAACGCCAGCACAUUUUACCUUUACCCACUGAGAAGGGCCUGGUGGGAGGUGAAGGUACAGGAUCUGCCGAGAGCAAGAAAAAGACUCUGAGAAAGAAGAGGGCUGGUCCUCCAUGCUCUCGGCCCCAGGAAGCUCUGCCAGGCUGGUGCCGGGGUGGAGAGGCUCAUGUGGGCUCAUGUGGUGCUGCCUGUGCUGAUGGAGCCCAAGAG